UGGUCUCCGGGGUCAGUGCCACCGCGGACCCGCCUCCUCUCCCCGCAGUGAUCGUGUUGGGCAGGUCCUGCUGGUCCCAGGGGGUGCCCUUCCCGCACGGGAGCUCCUGGGUGGAGGACUGCAACAGCUGCCGCUGCCUGGAUGGCCGCCGGGACUGCAGCAAGGUGUGGUGCGGACGGAAGCCUUGCCUGCUGGCCAGCCGGCCCAACACACUGAGCGCCCAGUGCCCCCCGGGCCAGCAGUGUGGGGAGAGGGCCCCGGGACAGUGCCUGCAGCCGCCCUGCGCGGCCUGGGGGGAGUGUGGCCCCGAGAAGCCCCUGCUGCCCAGCACCCCCUGCGUGCCGCGCUCCGGGCACCUGGACAACAACUGCGCCCGCCUCACGCUGCGCUUCGACCGCGACCAGGUGCCCCAGGGUACCACGGUGGGCGCCAUCUGCUCGGGGAUUCGCGCCCUGCCGGCCACGCGGGCAGUGGCCCGGGACCGCCUCCUUGUGCUGCUGUGUGACAGGCCGUCCACGGAGGCCAGCGCCGUGGAGGUGGCCAUGGU
Long non-coding RNA from Myotis davidii, 547 nucleotides. RefSeq lists it as uncharacterized. The record is from RefSeq and is a predicted model, not a curated record. The transcript is spliced from 3 exons. Lineage: Eukaryota; Metazoa; Chordata; Mammalia; Chiroptera; Vespertilionidae.